UAGAUUUUGGUGUCAAUGGAUCUGGCUGCAAAUCUUGGCUCCAUUAUAUCAGCUGUGACCUUGGGUGGUCAACGGGGAUGACAGAUGCUUGAUAAUUCAGCCACGCCCCACACUGGAACUCCAGAGGCAGCUAGAGAAACUUACGCAUGAUUCCUAGAGCUUCAUUUGUGGCUCUCUUCUGAAAUGGUGACUUUGUUUUCUCCAUUUUUUUAUUUCUCUGCAGUGCUUCAAAUCUGUGACUUUGUGGCACCCAGGGCAGUUAAGGAAUGGGAAAGAAAGGCUGUCUCUGUUUCCUUUCCAAACCCCAGGGCCACAUGAAUCUGGACGCCACACUUCCGUGUUCACAUUAGAAAUGCCCUCCUUCCCCAGCAGCCCCCAUUGGAUGCAUUCAGAUGACUCGUAUCUUAGCAAGAAGGUACAACCACACGAGCCACUUCAGAGCACCUUAAUUCUCAUAAGACCUGGAUCUGAGGACAUGGCCAAGUAAAUCUCUCCAAGUUUCUCCAGCCCAGCCAUUUGCCUGCAUUAAAAUAACCUGGGUGUGCACACUCUGCUUUAACUCCUUCCAAGUACCCCAUAAACCAGCCUCAGUGGAGUGCAUGGGCGUGAAGAAAGCUCACCCCCUCAGUCACUUCCUCCACCAUUUCAGAGCCGGGCUGGCCAAGUUCACCCGUCUCCUGAAGAGGAUCCAGUAGAAAGUGGGCACACCCACCUUCUCCAUUAACUCAGAUAAACUGUUCCAUCUGCGUCAGGUGAACUCACUUUUCCAUGUUGCGACCAAAUGUUUCAAAUUUCUUAUAGCAGGGGACCCAGAUCAAAUUUAACAAGACCUGCCAUCUCUACAGCUUUGCCCAACAUCCAACACCACCUGAAAGAAGCUACUUGAGGUCACAUAAGAAGGAAAAAGGCUCCGAUCUGAGGCAUGUUUUGGAGACCUUGGGGAGACUCCUUGAACUUUCACAGCUUCCUGAUACUUGUUACUUUCAGCACCUACCAUCGAAUUCCACAGAAGGAUUAGCAGCUUUGGGGCUCUGGCUACCUGUAAUUGGGCAGCUGAGAGGAUGUGAUCAUCAGCUGAUGUGAACCCUGACUCACCCAACCCUCUUCUAUGUGCCUUUGCUGAGCACCACGUGCUGGAUUUCAGCUCCCAUUGUAUGCCAGAGGAAUUCAGCAAGAGAGCCUCAGCGCAAUUGCAAAACGAUCGCACGGAGAACAGGCACAGCCCAGACCACCUGACUUUGACUGGUUCCAGCAUCCUCUAAAUUGAAUUCACAUUAGAUAGAUGAGCCCAUUGGAAGAAUAUAAUACAGUGAAGCAGGAAUUACUCUGCCUUUGAUGGGAGAAGUCAGAGUUUCCAAAAGGAUGGAGUAAGAUUAACACAACACAACUCAUUGCCCAGGCAUGCAAGUGUUGCCACGCACGGACAGACCUCUCGUGCCUCCACUGCGUUCCCUCCCUCGGUGACAGGAAACCCAUUGGAUUCCAGCACCCGCAGAGCUCUGGCAGCCAUUGGCCCCAAAGCUCUACCUCCUGCCUUUCGUCAAAAGCUGGAAGCAAAUCAAUGUCCAUCAACCAGAGAAUGGAUAAGCAAAUCGUAGCAUGUUCUUACAAUGGAACAGAGCUCAGAGCAAUGGAGUAGGAACUCCUCACCAGCAUGCACAGAUGCACAAAUAGCGCGGUGAGUCAAGACAGAUUCAAAGGGGCACAUGAAUGGUUCCACUUACGUGAAGUUCUACACCAGGCAAAAACAAUCAAAAGUGAAAAAAUGAAAUCUGUGGCUGCCUCUGAAUGGGAAAGGAGUAGAAGGAGAGAUGAGGGAAUUUUUCUGGGGAGAUGGAAAUAUUCUAUAUUGUGAUGAGGUAUAGGUUACAAGUGAGUAUUCACUUGUCAAAAUUGUAUAGUUAAGAUUUGUGCAUCGUAAUGUGUAGAAAUUUUACCUAAAAGAACCAACAGUAAAAAUUAAAAUAGUUCUGUAUCUGGGAUGGGGGUGGGUAGAGAUACAGAUCAAACAAUAAUGGCAGAAUAUUGAUAAUUAUUGAAGCUAGGUGUUGGGUACAUGGAGGUUCGUUAUAUUUUAUUCACUUUGUAUGCAUUUGAAAUUUUCUGUAAUAAAAGUUUUAAAAUAACUGAUAUAUAAUUCCUUUUGAUGACAGUAAGAACCACUGAGCAUUAUCUAGUAUAUUUAAUUGGCUGUAAGUUAAAAAUGAGAAAUUAAGUGGCUUAUACCAUGAACGUAUUUCUCUUUAUUUCUUGGAUCAUUUUCAUUUGUUUCAAUGUUUAAAAAUAGAAGAGAGGUCAUUAGUAUAAUGUGGUGGUAGUAUUGAGCUUUGUAACUAACAUUUUUUCAGAUAACAGGUGAAAAAAUUUUGGUUUUAUUUGAAAAUUCACAAAUCUUCACAUCAGCAACUUGUAUGAGAAUAUAUUUG
Molecule: non-coding RNA, 2426 nt
Organism: Microcebus murinus (gray mouse lemur)
Lineage: Eukaryota; Metazoa; Chordata; Mammalia; Primates; Cheirogaleidae
Source: RefSeq, a predicted model, not a curated record